RNAcentral lists this ribosomal RNA (775 nucleotides) under uncultured Neocallimastigales. RNAcentral describes it as "partial large subunit ribosomal RNA". It matches the Rfam family "Eukaryotic large subunit ribosomal RNA", at positions 24 to 616 of the family's 3401-position model. The record is from RNAcentral. Lineage: Eukaryota; Fungi; Neocallimastigomycota; Neocallimastigomycetes; Neocallimastigales.
UAUGUGAUCGUCUCUCGCAUAUCAAUAAGCGGAGGAAAAGAAACUAACAAGGAUUCCCCUAGUAACGGCGAGUGGAGCGGGAAGAGCUCAAAUUUGAAAUCUUAAAGGGUUUCCCUUUACGAAUUGUAGUUUAAAGAAGUGUUUUCUGUUGAGGUUUUGGUAAAAGUUCUUUGGAAUAGGACAUCAUAGAGGGUGAGAAUCCCGUAUUUGACCUUUACUUUCAACUUUGUGAUACACUUUCAAAGAGUCGGAUUGUUUGGGAAUGCAGGUCCAAAAUGGGUGGUAAAUUUCAUCUAAAGCUAAAUAUUGGCGAGAGACCGAUAGCGAACAAGUACCGUGAGGGAAAGAUGAAAAGAACUUUGAAAAGAGAGUUAAACAGUACGUGAAAUUGUCAAAAGGGAAGCGUUUGACACCAGUGUUGUUUUUCUGAAAAUCAAUUAAAGAACUGUUUAUGCUAAGUUGUUUAGACUUUAUCAGCUAACUGUUUAGUUUUGAGCUUUUCUUUAAUGCACUUUUCAGUUAACAAGUCAACAUCAAUUUCUUUUGCUGUAAAAAAGCUUGAGGAAGGUGGCUUGAGAUUCGUCUUAAGUGUUUAUAGCCUCUUGCCUAUGCAGUCGGAGAGAUUGAGGUCUGCAGCGUAGAUCCUUCGGGGCUAAAUGCAUUUGUGCUAAGUUAUAGCAUUUUAUAGACAACUUGUUGACUAUGAUUUGUCUUGUAGCUUACUCGCUUAUGUUAUUUUACCUACGCUUAGGAUGUUGAGCGCAUGUCUCUCUCU